RNAcentral lists this ribosomal RNA (537 nucleotides) under uncultured bacterium. Its description in RNAcentral is "bacterial SSU rRNA". It matches the Rfam family "Bacterial small subunit ribosomal RNA", at positions 777 to 1304 of the family's 1533-position model. The record is from RNAcentral.
AAUAGAUACCCUGGUAGUCCUGGCCGUAAACGAUCAGUACUAGACGGAGGGGAGGUUCGCCCUUUCUCGGUCGGUAGCGAAAGCGAUAAGUACUGCGCCUGGGGGAGUAUGGUCGCGAGGCUGAAACUCAAAGGAAUUGACGGGGGGCUCACACAAGCGGUGGAGCAUGUGGCUUAAUUCGAGGCAACGCGAAGAACCUUAUCCUAGGCUUGACAUGCUGGGAUUAGUUGGCUGAAAGGUCAAUGACGCCUUCGGGUGGAACCAGCACAGGUGCUGCAUGGCUGUCGUCAGCUCGUGCCGUGAGGUGUCGGGUUAAGUCCUUAAACGAGCGAAACCCCUGUCGUCAGUUGCCAGCAUUCAGUUGGGGACUCUGACGAGACCGCCGGUGUCAAACCGGAGGAAGGCGGGGGACGGACGUCAAGUCAUCAUGGCCUUUAUGCCUAGGGCUGCACACGUGCUACAAUGCGGCGUACAAAGGGAAGCCAACCCGCGAGGGGAGCCAAUACCCAAAAAGCGUCGCUCAGUUCGGAUUGCAGG